RNAcentral lists this long non-coding RNA (378 nucleotides) under Heterocephalus glaber (naked mole-rat). Its description in RNAcentral is "lncRNA (ENSHGLG00000043493.1)". Lineage: Eukaryota; Metazoa; Chordata; Mammalia; Rodentia; Bathyergidae. The record is from RNAcentral.
GGAAGAUCCGCACAUGAUUGGGCGGAUAGCUUGUGCCAACGUGCUGAGUGACCUCUACGCCAUGGGCAUCACGGAAUGUGACAACAUGUUACUGUUACUCAGUGUCGGCCAGAAUAUGAAUGAGGAGGAGUGAGAAAAGGUAACACCACUCAUGAUCAAAGGUUUCCGGGAUGCUGCUGAGGAGGGAGGAACUGCAGUCACAGAACUGGGGAUAGAACUCAGGACCUUGUAAAACAUGUUCUUUUAAAUAAAUGACAGAAAAUGAACCUGAAAAGGUCACCAAAUAUGCUAAACUAUUCCGAAAAUUUAAGUGGCUUGCUGUGUCAGUUGAUGCUUACCAGAGUCAGAUGUAGAAGAAUGGAAGAGGUCCGCGCUGGA